GACAAACGCUGGCGGCGUGCUUAACACAUGCAAGUCGAACGGAAAGGCCCUGCUUUUGUGGGGUGCUCGAGUGGCGAACGGGUGAGUAACACGUGAGUAACCUGCCCUUGACUUUGGGAUAACUUCAGGAAACUGGGGCUAAUACCGGAUAGGAGCUCCUGCUGCAUGGUUGGGGUUGGAAAGUUUCGGCGGUUGGGGAUGGACUCGCGGCUUAUCAGCUUGUUGGUGGGGUAGUGGCUUACCAAGGCUUUGACGGGUAGCCGGCCUGAGAGGGUGACCGGCCACAUUGGGACUGAGAUACGGCCCAGACUCCUACGGGAGGCAGCAGUGGGGAAUAUUGCACAAUGGGCGGAAGCCUGAUGCAGCAACGCCGCGUGCGGGAUGACGGCCUUCGGGUUGUAAACCGCUUUCGCCUGUGACGAAGCGUGAGUGACGGUAAUGGGUAAAGAAGCACCGGCUAACUACGUG
This 468-nucleotide ribosomal RNA is filed under the name uncultured bacterium. RNAcentral's name for it is "partial 16S ribosomal RNA". It matches the Rfam family "Bacterial small subunit ribosomal RNA", at positions 28 to 507 of the family's 1533-position model. The record is from RNAcentral.